Molecule: long non-coding RNA, 657 nt
Filed under: Phasianus colchicus (ring-necked pheasant)
Lineage: Eukaryota; Metazoa; Chordata; Aves; Galliformes; Phasianidae
Description: lncRNA (ENSPCLG00000005343.1)
Source: RNAcentral
GAAGCAAUUCGAGUCAUCCUUGGAAAUCUUGAUGAUUUACAUCCAUUUUCUACAGAUCACUUCACUAUCUUUCCAUAUUUGAGUAAAUGGGAAAGAGUAUCAAAAAUGAGAUUCAAACAUGAGAAUGUCAAUCUCGUGCCUUAUCCCUACAUUUGCACUAUGUAUCUGGAGCUCAACUCAUUUCAGCAAAGUUUGUCCUUGGGUAAAGAAGUCAACAGCAACAAUUCUGAGCCUGUCAAGAGAAAAAGUGAAAUACCAGAAAGUACUGAAAUGGAAGAAACAGGGAAGAGGAGAAGAGUUGAAGGUCAAACAGAGACCUCAUAUCCAAAGUUAUGUAUGGACAGACCUGGAGCUGAGAGUGUUCACCAUGCAACUAAAGUAGAGCAUGGAUUUGAAAAGGUAAGCUACAGAAUAUUCAGAAAGACACAACAGUACUUAGUCCUAGAUUCUCAAGAUGGCAAGCAUAAAAUGCCUUCAGGUAUGUUUUUUCCCUUGUCAUUUGCAUCUGUGAUAGUGACUUUCUUGAUUGCUGCUCAUCAAAAUCAGUCAGAUGGUGAGUUUUACAGAGACAACACACAAACUUUUCUGGUUCUUCAGCUAAGAACUAAGGGUAAGCUUAACCUCUCAGAGAUGAACCUGAAGAAUUGCCUACCUUGA